UACGGAGGGUGCAAGCGUUAUCCGGAAUCACUGGGCGUAAAGGGCGCGUAGGUGGUCUGUUAAGUCUGGCGUUAAAGCCUGGGGCUCAACCCCAGAUCAGCGUUGGAUACUGGCAGGCUAGACGGUUGGAGAGGCGAGUGGAAUUACCAGUGUAGCGGUGGAAUGCGUAGAUACUGGUAGGAACACCCAUUGCGAAGGCAGCUCGCUGGACAACACGUGACACUGAGGCGCGAAAGUGUGGGGAGCAAACCGGAUUAGAUACU
RNAcentral lists this ribosomal RNA (263 nucleotides) under uncultured prokaryote. Its description in RNAcentral is "partial 16S ribosomal RNA". It matches the Rfam family "Bacterial small subunit ribosomal RNA", at positions 524 to 786 of the family's 1533-position model. The record is from RNAcentral.